AAAAUUUUUAACACUUUAAAAGCAAAGGCAUUAUUAAUUUUUAAAAGUGUUUGUUAAACACGUUCGACUUUUCACAAUAUACCCAGCAGAUCGUCGGUAUAGUACAAGCUAUCUCUUAGGAUAACACCAGUUUCACAUGUUAGCUAUGUGCAUGUCUUACAAGAAAGUCAAUUAUCACUCCAUAGUUGGUUUUGGGAUGCCGGUCGCGUUAUGGGACAUCGGUAUAUGCUGGGGAAUUGUCAGCAUUAAACGAGUAUAAAGAUGAUAAUGAAGUUCAUUUGCUAGUAGUAAGUAAGUAAGUGGUGGCUGGUUUUAAUACAUGUUAAAGAAUACAUGUUAACUUCUGCAAUAUAGUGUGGCAUGCAUGCAAUCCAAUGCAAUAUGUGGCAGAGCGGCUGUGGUCCGGUAUUCACUUGAAAUGCUCGCGAAUGCUGCUAAUCAAGUCAGUUUGGUGGAGAACGCGUUUAAGAAAAGUACAAUUAUACAAUACAGAUAUAUUUUUGUGCAAUACCGAAUGAUCGAUCAAUAAACAGUUUAAAAGGCAAAAAGUUUAACAAUUUACUUUAAACAUCAAAUAAUAUUUAUUGAAUUAGAAAUUUAUACGUACAUAUAUGUGUAUGUGCUUUUGCUUUUAAAAAGUACCUAAAGACACAAAUGAACGUACGCACUUUGUUCAUAAUGCUAAUGCAGUGUGUAUUUAUUUGAACUUCAUGUCAAGUUUCAACUAAAUCUGUAAACUACAUAAGUUUUGGAUGAGAUAAUUGUAAAACAAUAAUAAAAAUUGUUUAAUUUAAAAAUAAUCUCGGUUUAUAUGUUCUAAAUAUCAAUAAAUAUCCAUUUAUCAUAAAAUUGUUGUUAUUGAAAAUACAUUAUUGGAGGAUGUUAACUAACCAAGGGCACAAUCAUUUACACAAAAUUCAAUAACAUCGAAAUAAAUAAAUGUUUUGUAACUAAAAGACUGAGUAAAUAAUAAUAAUAAUAAUAAA
Molecule: long non-coding RNA, 986 nt
Organism: Lucilia cuprina (Australian sheep blowfly)
Lineage: Eukaryota; Metazoa; Arthropoda; Insecta; Diptera; Calliphoridae
Exons: 3
Source: RefSeq, a predicted model, not a curated record